RNAcentral lists this transfer RNA (68 nucleotides) under Marmota monax (woodchuck). Its description in RNAcentral is "tRNA.Ala". Lineage: Eukaryota; Metazoa; Chordata; Mammalia; Rodentia; Sciuridae. The record is from RNAcentral.
GGAUUGUGGCUCAGUGGUAGAGUGCAAGCCUAGCAUGCGCGGGGCCCUGCAUUCAAUUCUCAGCACCA